RNAcentral lists this ribosomal RNA (2338 nucleotides) under Escherichia coli. Its description in RNAcentral is "partial 23S ribosomal RNA". It matches the Rfam family "Bacterial large subunit ribosomal RNA", at positions 598 to 2915 of the family's 2925-position model. The record is from RNAcentral. Lineage: Bacteria; Pseudomonadati; Pseudomonadota; Gammaproteobacteria; Enterobacterales; Enterobacteriaceae.
UGCGUACCUUUUGUAUAAUGGGUCAGCGACUUAUAUUCUGUAGCAAGGUUAACCGAAUAGGGGAGCCGAAGGGAAACCGAGUCUUAACUGGGCGUUAAGUUGCAGGGUAUAGACCCGAAACCCGGUGAUCUAGCCAUGGGCAGGUUGAAGGUUGGGUAACACUAACUGGAGGACCGAACCGACUAAUGUUGAAAAAUUAGCGGAUGACUUGUGGCUGGGGGUGAAAGGCCAAUCAAACCGGGAGAUAGCUGGUUCUCCCCGAAAGCUAUUUAGGUAGCGCCUCGUGAAUUCAUCUCCGGGGGUAGAGCACUGUUUCGGCAAGGGGGUCAUCCCGACUUACCAACCCGAUGCAAACUGCGAAUACCGGAGAAUGUUAUCACGGGAGACACACGGCGGGUGCUAACGUCCGUCGUGAAGAGGGAAACAACCCAGACCGCCAGCUAAGGUCCCAAAGUCAUGGUUAAGUGGGAAACGAUGUGGGAAGGCCCAGACAGCCAGGAUGUUGGCUUAGAAGCAGCCAUCAUUUAAAGAAAGCGUAAUAGCUCACUGGUCGAGUCGGCCUGCGCGGAAGAUGUAACGGGGCUAAACCAUGCACCGAAGCUGCGGCAGCGACGCUGAUGCGUUGUUGGGUAGGGGAGCGUUCUGUAAGCCUGCGAAGGUGUGCUGUGAGGCAUGCUGGAGGUAUCAGAAGUGCGAAUGCUGACAUAAGUAACGAUAAAGCGGGUGAAAAGCCCGCUCGCCGGAAGACCAAGGGUUCCUGUCCAACGUUAAUCGGGGCAGGGUGAGUCGACCCCUAAGGCGAGGCCGAAAGGCGUAGUCGAUGGGAAACAGGUUAAUAUUCCUGUACUUGGUGUUACUGCGAAGGGGGGACGGAGAAGGCUAUGUUGGCCGGGCGACGGUUGUCCCGGUUUAAGCGUGUAGGCUGGUUUUCCAGGCAAAUCCGGAAAAUCAAGGCUGAGGCGUGAUGACGAGGCACUGCGGUGCUGAAGCAACAAAUGCCCUGCUUCCAGGAAAAGCCUCUAAGCAUCAGGUAACAUCAAAUCGUACCCCAAACCGACACAGGUGGUCAGGUAGAGAAUACCAAGGCGCUUGAGAGAACUCGGGUGAAGGAACUAGGCAAAAUGGUGCCGUAACUUCGGGAGAAGGCACGCUGAUAUGUAGGUGAAGUCCCUCGCGGAUGGAGCUGAAAUCAGUCGAAGAUACCAGCUGGCUGCAACUGUUUAUUAAAAACACAGCACUGUGCAAACACGAAAGUGGACGUAUACGGUGUGACGCCUGCCCGGUGCCGGAAGGUUAAUUGAUGGGGUUAGCGCAAGCGAAGCUCUUGAUCGAAGCCCCGGUAAACGGCGGCCGUAACUAUAACGGUCCUAAGGUAGCGAAAUUCCUUGUCGGGUAAGUUCCGACCUGCACGAAUGGCGUAAUGAUGGCCAGGCUGUCUCCACCCGAGACUCAGUGAAAUUGAACUCGCUGUGAAGAUGCAGUGUACCCGCGGCAAGACGGAAAGACCCCGUGAACCUUUACUAUAGCUUGACACUGAACAUUGAGCCUUGAUGUGUAGGAUAGGUGGGAGGCUUUGAAGUGUGGACGCCAGUCUGCAUGGAGCCGACCUUGAAAUACCACCCUUUAAUGUUUGAUGUUCUAACGUUGACCCGUAAUCCGGGUUGCGGACAGUGUCUGGUGGGUAGUUUGACUGGGGCGGUCUCCUCCUAAAGAGUAACGGAGGAGCACGAAGGUUGGCUAAUCCUGGUCGGACAUCAGGAGGUUAGUGCAAUGGCAUAAGCCAGCUUGACUGCGAGCGUGACGGCGCGAGCAGGUGCGAAAGCAGGUCAUAGUGAUCCGGUGGUUCUGAAUGGAAGGGCCAUCGCUCAACGGAUAAAAGGUACUCCGGGGAUAACAGGCUGAUACCGCCCAAGAGUUCAUAUCGACGGCGGUGUUUGGCACCUCGAUGUCGGCUCAUCACAUCCUGGGGCUGAAGUAGGUCCCAAGGGUAUGGCUGUUCGCCAUUUAAAGUGGUACGCGAGCUGGGUUUAGAACGUCGUGAGACAGUUCGGUCCCUAUCUGCCGUGGGCGCUGGAGAACUGAGGGGGGCUGCUCCUAGUACGAGAGGACCGGAGUGGACGCAUCACUGGUGUUCGGGUUGUCAUGCCAAUGGCACUGCCCGGUAGCUAAAUGCGGAAGAGAUAAGUGCUGAAAGCAUCUAAGCACGAAACUUGCCCCGAGAUGAGUUCUCCCUGACUCCUUGAGAGUCCUGAAGGAACGUUGAAGACGACGACGUUGAUAGGCCGGGUGUGUAAGCGCAGCGAUGCGUUGAGCUAACCGGUACUAAUGAACCGUGAGG